UACGGAGGGGGUUAGCGUUGUUCGGAAUUACUGGGCGUAAAGCGCACGUAGGCGGAUUGGAAAGUAUGGGGUGAAAUCCCAGGGCUCAACCCUGGAACUGCCUUGUAAACUCCCAGUCUAGAGUUCGAGAGAGGUGAGUGGAAUUCCAAGUGUAGAGGUGAAAUUCGUAGAUAUUUGGAGGAACACCAGUGGCGAAGGCGGCUCACUGGCUCGAUACUGACGCUGAGGUGAGAAAGUGUGGGGAGCAAACAGG
This 253-nucleotide ribosomal RNA is filed under the name uncultured bacterium. RNAcentral describes it as "partial 16S ribosomal RNA". It matches the Rfam family "Bacterial small subunit ribosomal RNA", at positions 524 to 776 of the family's 1533-position model. The record is from RNAcentral.